CUGUGUGCCAUCCAGUGGAAAAGCAGGCUCGUAAAAACAUUACGGUGUGUUCUCACCCACCUUAUUCACUGCAGGUGGCACCACGAGACCCCUGGCUCUUCCUCAAAAUAACGAUUACCGUGAAAGGCAAAUAUGCUAACUGAUUCAGGACACUGCGGCGGCCAUGAUAGCACAACGAAAUUAUCAACUAAAAACACGAAGCAGGACUCCCACAGCUCCUUGGGAAAAUGACAAGAACAAUGGCGGACAGAGAGUGGGUCCGGAAGACAGCAGCCUGCACUCGGACAUGUGAGACUGGAGAGGCACAAAGGGCAGCAAGUAGAGAUGUCACCAGCCUGGCUGACAUCAGCCCUGUGGUUCUGGGCAGAGCUCUGGGCCAGAGCUCUAAAUGCUGUCUGCAUAAACAGCAAGUUUGGAUCCAAGAGACUGAAUGAGCUCAAGUAAGAAAAUCUAGACAGAAAGGUAAAAACACCUAAGAUGAAAACCUGGAUUCAAAAACUGGGGGCACGAGGAGCCAUCAGCAAAGGAAACAGAAGCAAGGGGAGGUGAUGGAAGAGGAAAGCCAGGCUUAAGCUUCAGAAAGAAAGUGAAGGGCUGGUUAAUUAUGCCAAGAAUUGAUAGGAAAGUCAGGUGAAGUCACUAAUUAUAUCUCAUAAUUUUAUUUAGUCAGUUAUUUUCCCUCAGUCUUUUAACUUACUCUCUCAAACUGUAACUAAACUCAUUCUCUUAUUUUUAAUACCACAGCCCACCCUACUGCCCCACCCCCCAACACACACACAGCAUUUUCACCUCUGCCUUUCUACAAGGUUCACCACCUGUUCCCUGGAUCACAUCAGCAAAAGGACCAGAUGCUAGAAGUCUAAUGCAGAGACUUUUCUAUAAAGGGAAGGGAAAUAGAAGGCAAAUGGAGGCUGAAAAUUUUGAUAACUAUAUAUAUAUGUAUAUAUAUAUUUAAAUUUUUUGUAUUUGUUGACUAAAAAUAAAACUGCUCAAAUGAACCAGCUAUCAAAGAAACAUGGAUUAAAAUAAAUUGUCUCUCCUCUUUUUUCCAGAUCAAACUGGUAUUUCAAAAAGCAAAGCCCGUAUGG
This 1088-nucleotide long non-coding RNA is filed under the name Chinchilla lanigera (long-tailed chinchilla). RNAcentral describes it as "lncRNA (ENSCLAG00000026462.1)". The record is from RNAcentral. Lineage: Eukaryota; Metazoa; Chordata; Mammalia; Rodentia; Chinchillidae.